GGGCUGCAGUAUAUUGACUGUACAAAGGUAGCAUAAUCAUUAGUCAUUUAAUUGGUGACUUGUAUGAAAGAUUGGAUGAAAUAUAAACUGUCUCUUAAUUAAUUAUAGAAUUUAAUUUUUUAAUUAAAAAGUUAAAAUAAUUUAAAAAGACGAGAAGACCCUAUAGAGUUUAAUAUAUAAUUUAAUUAAGAUUAUUUAUAAAUUUAUUAAUUAAAAUUAUUUUAUUUAUUUUGUUGGGGUGACAAAAAAAUAUAAUUAACUUUUUUUAUUAUUUUAACAUAUAUAAGUGAAUUGAUGAUCCAAUAUUAUUGAUUAUAAGAAAAAAUUACCUUAGGGAUAACAGCGUAAUUUUUUUUUUUAGUUCAAAUAAAAAAAAGAGUUUGCGACCUCGAUGUUGGAUUAAGAUAAAAUUUAAAUG
RNAcentral lists this ribosomal RNA (418 nucleotides) under Spodoptera mauritia. RNAcentral describes it as "partial 16S ribosomal RNA". Lineage: Eukaryota; Metazoa; Arthropoda; Insecta; Lepidoptera; Noctuidae. The record is from RNAcentral.